GAUGAACGCUGGCGGCGUGCCUAAUACAUGCAAGUCGAGCGAACGGACGAGAAGCUUGCUUUUCUGAUGUUAGCGGCGGACGGGUGAGUAACACGUGGAUAACCUACCUAUAAGACUGGGAUAACUUCGGGAAACCGGAGCUAAUACCGGAUAAUAUUUUGAACCGCAUGGUUCAAAAGUGAAAGACGGUCUUGCUGUCACUUAUAGAUGGAUCCGCGCUGCAUUAGCUAGUUGGUAAGGUAACGGCUUACCAAGGCAACGAUGCAUAGCCGACCUGAGAGGGUGAUCGGCCACACUGGAACUGAGACACGGUCCAGACUCCUGCGGGAGGCAGCAGUAGGGAAUCUUGCGCAAUGGGCGAAAGCCUGACGGAGCAACGCCGCGUGAGUGAUGAAGGUCUUCGGAUCGUAAAACUCUGUUAUUAGGGAAGAACAUAUGUGUAAGUAACUGUGCACAUCUUGACGGUACCUAAUCAGAAAGCCACGGCUAACUACGUG
RNAcentral lists this ribosomal RNA (497 nucleotides) under uncultured bacterium. RNAcentral's name for it is "partial 16S ribosomal RNA". It matches the Rfam family "Bacterial small subunit ribosomal RNA", at positions 28 to 507 of the family's 1533-position model. The record is from RNAcentral.